This 504-nucleotide ribosomal RNA is filed under the name uncultured bacterium. Its description in RNAcentral is "bacterial SSU rRNA". It matches the Rfam family "Bacterial small subunit ribosomal RNA", at positions 25 to 518 of the family's 1533-position model. The record is from RNAcentral.
CAGAACGAACGCUGGCGGCGCGCUUAAGCAUGCAAGGUCGAACGGCAAGAGGUAGCAAUACCUCCUAGAGUGGCGGACUGGUGAGUAACACGUGGGUGACAUACCCUUCAGAUGGGGAUAGCUAUUAGAAAUAGUAGAUAAUACCGAAUACGAGCACAGGGGUUAGAGAUCUGUGAGGAAAGGAGCUAAGGCUCCGCUGAAGGAAUGGCCUGCGGCCCAUUAGCUAGUUGGUGAGGUAAGAGCCCACCAAGGCGAUGAUGGGUAUCCGGCCUUAGAGGGUGAACGGACACAUUGGGACUGAGAUACGGCCCAGACUCCUACGGGAGGCAGCAGCUAAGAAUAUUCCGCAAUGGACGAAAGUCUGACGGAGCGACGCCGCGUGGAUGAAGAAGGCCGGAAGGUUGUAAAAUCCUUUUGAAACUGAAGAAUAAGCGUUGUAGGGAAUGACAGCGUGGUGACAGUAGGUUUCGAAUAAGCAACGGCUAAUUACGUGCCAGCAGCCGC